UGGCAUCAGGUGAACUGGAUUGCACUGCUCUGUGACCUUGGUUCCAUGCCCUUGUCCACCUCCUCUCACACUCUCAGUGAAUCCAGAUGAAUUCCAGAAUAUGUUCCAGUUGCUGUUGGCUGGAGGAAAUCACCUCCUUCCUAGGAAAGCACCAAGGAUGUGGUGUGGGGCAGAGCAGGCUGAACUCCACAAAGGGAAGGGAAACCCCUUAACACCAUUUGCCCGGGUAGACUUUUGAAGGACUUCAGGCACUGCUGUUCCUUCCCUGAAUUGCUGAGAAAAUGCCUAAGACAGCAGGGCAAUGAAAGCUGAAGAAAGGGCACAAGUGGGACAGACAGAAACAUACCCAAAUGAUAAAGAAGUUUUAUACAAUUUAGAUGAGGAACCUAAGGCAUCAUUAGUUGGAGGUGCUUGCCUGAGCUCAGUGCCCAGCCCCCUCUCUGCCAGGUCCCGGGAACCUGAGUCCUCCUCUGCAAGGAACUCCCAGUCCAGCAGCGUCGCUUCUCUCACAGUGGUGAUGUCAUCCUUUCAGAUGAGAGUCAGGACCCUCAAGGAAUUGUGACAAUCAAGAAGACCACUUCUACCGAGGCGGGUGGAUCACGAGGUCAAGAGUUCGAGACCAGCCUGGCCACCAUGGUGAAACCCCGUCUCUACUAAAAAUACAAAAAUUAGUGGUGGUGCACACUUGUAAUCCCAGCUACUCGGGAGACUACCACUUCUAUAUUCAUCAACAGAUUUAAAGGAGGGGAACAUGUGCUCAGAUUUAUAAAGGUUGAUAAGGCAUCCAAUAAAAUUCAGCAGGCUUUCCUAAUAAAAUUCUGAAGAAGAAUAGAAGGAAAUAGCUAAAUAUGAUAAGUAUUAUUUGUCAAAAACCAACACCAAAUAUUACCAAUGGUGAUAUGUUAAAACAUUUUCAUUUAAAUCUGAAGCAAGGCAAGGGUAUCCACUAUCUCCAUUAUUAUUCAACAUCAUUUUGGAGGUGCUAACAGGUUCUAUAAGAUAAGAAAGUGAAAUAACUUGUACAGGUUGAGCUUCCCUCAUCUCAAAACCUGAAAUCUGAAGUGUCCCAAAUUCUGAAAAUUGUUGAGCACUGACAUGUCGCCACAAGUGGAGGAUUCCAUACAGAAGUACUGAACACAAAUUUUAUUUCAUGCAUAAAAUUAUUUAAGAUAUUACAUAAAAUUAUUUUUAGGCUAUGUAUAUAACGUGUGUAUGAAACAUAAAUGAAUUUCAUGUUAGAUUUUAGUUCCAUCACCAAGAUAUCUCUUAUAUAUAUGCAAAUAUUCCAAAAUAUAAAAAAAGUCUGAAAUCUGAAACACUUCUGGUGCCAAGCAUUUUGGAUAAGGUAUACUCAACUUGUAUAAAAUUUUGGAAGAGAAGAGAUAAAAUUGCCCUUUUGGCCAAUGCCAUAAUUGCAUCUAGAAAACCCAAAUAUUCUAGAGUUGGUAGCACAGGUAUGUGAAUACUGUCCUUGGAGGUGUGUGCAGCACACUGGCAUUGGCUGAAACAUGUGUGUAGUGGCUAGACAUGGGAACUCAGGUGACAGCCUCUCAGUGGACAAAUGGCAGAAUGAGUAGAGUGGAAGCAUACCAUGGAAUAUUGGGCAGUCAUUAAACAGAAUGAGUCAGAUCGAUACUACCUGACUCAAAGGGAUUUCCAGGAUGCAUUGUGAAAUUAGGAAGGUAAGGUGCAGAGAAAUUUGUGUAGCAAAGCCCCAUUUUUGUGACAUAACCUAUGCUCCCAUGUUUGAAUGAGCAUGAAGAAAGGUACUGGAGGAUACAUGCCAAGGAGGGAGAUGGGGAAGUGAGGCCAACCAAGCCAAACCAGACCAGACCAAAUGAGAUCAGACCAGAUCAAACUAGACCUGACCAGAGCAGACCAGAUCAGACCAAACAAAACUACACCAGACCAGACCAACUAGUCCUGUCCAGAUCAGACCAAGUCAAACCAAACCCAAACACAACAGACUGUUAAAGUGUCCCUGAUUAAGCAACUUGAGUGACAUCCCUUUUAUGUUAUGCAUGUGUGUGUCUGUAUGUAGAUGCAUAUAAUCAUAGAUGAAAUGAUGGUCAUUGAAUUAUUGAUGGUGACAACUCAGUGUAUGGGAUCUCAGGUGAUUUUUAUUUCCCUUGAGCUUUUUAUAUUAAAAAAUACAGAGCGUAUGUAUUAUUUACAUAAUUAGGAAAAAAUGGAAAAAGUGUUUUUCAUUGCAGAAUGAUUUUUAGAAAAGGGAGGGAAAAAAAGAACCUUACUGUUCUGCAAGUGGCAGUAUAAGGGGGCCACUCUUCUUGGUGGCCCUUCUGCAGCCCACUUUGGUGAGGUGUAUCUAUCCCAGAGCCCACUGGGGAAUGCAGAGGCUGAACACUGACUGCGUAGACCAGACCUCAGGGACCUUCAUGCACACAGUAUGUUUCUGGGCUCCAACCACAUUGUAGUACAUCUUCUGUGUCUCUGGCUUCUGCCCUGAGCCUCUUCCCAGAAAUUUCAGGAGAGAGACUGGGAGGGACUGUAGGAAGCAGAGUGAGCUCGAAGUCCUCUUCCAGGACAGGAAACCAAGUCCUGCUGUGGCCACACAGAAACGAAAAGAUAAAGUUGAUCGGGGCACAGGACCGAGUCAUUCCUAAGGGAGCUCACAUUUUCGCAUAUUGAUGCAUAAGAAGAAUCUCUAGUUACACUGGUGUAAUUCUCCAGGCUUUUCUCUUCUCUGGUUCGAAACUGCUCUGGAUCACGUGGCUUUCCAGGGAGACCUGUGGGAUUAAGAAGAGAGUGGGCCUACAACCCCAUUUCCAGUUGUCUACUAUAGAAAACAAAGUACAGGCUCUCAUCUGAAUCUGUGGGCAGAGUCUGGCUGGGCUCUCUAUAAUCCUUCCCUGGUCUUCCCUGGCUCUGUAACUAAGAGUUGAGCACUUCCACACUCUCUCCCCACAAGUCUUGAUGCUGGAAAGGAAAGCAUUGCAAAGCCACAGCUCAGUGUUGCAGCUUUGUUUUCACGCAAAUCUUAAACUCUCUUUGUUCUCACCUCUGUCAUCCCUUUACUUUUAUUUACCUGAUGCUAGGAAAGAGUUAGGUCUAAUGGCUGAGACAUGAAAAAUGUCAAAGACCAGCAUGAGAACUAGGCCCAGGGGUGCCUCUUCCAGUCUCUUUCUCAAGUAGCUUUCUCAGUUUUGGGGGACAUUGACGAAGUCUCCCACAAUAUCUUACACUAAGUAGUUGUUUGAUAAAUAUGUAUUGAAGUAAGGUCUUUAUCUCCCCCAAUACCGCAUGUGAGAGGCCACGAAUAAACCUGCCUGCUUCACUCACAUGUCAGCACGGGCUUGUUUAUCUGGUUAACUCACAGACCUAUCCAUCUGUUAGAAUAGCUGGGCGUUGUGGCGGGUGCCUGUAAUCCCAGCUACUUGGGAGGCUGAAGCAGGAGAAUCGCUUGAACCCAGGAGGCAGAGGUUGCAGUGAGCCGAGAUCAUGCCACUGCACUCCAGCCCGGGCAACAAAGCAAGACUCCAUCUCAAAAAAAGAGAAAAGUCCCCUUUCAUUCUCUGGAACUCCUUAGGCCCUGAUAGAAUGAGUCAAGGGCAGACAUCUUUUGAGGCCUGGGGCAGUGGGGGGAGGACAAGCAGGGAGGGAGUGGUAGAUCCAGAGAGGCCCUGCCACAGAGAAAGGUAGAAGGGAAUGGAGUCAGGAAAGGUGGAGGAAAGCCCUUCAAUAAAGCUUGGGGGACCUCAAAGAUAGCCAGUGAUAAUGGCAACAAUAAUAUGAUAAUUGCCACUGGGCAAGGAUUGGAAGAUAAAUCAUUUUCUCUCUUGCUCUCCAGGGGAUGUUUAUGGAUUGCUUUUUCUUUUACUUUUCAGUGUUCAGGCCCAGGAACAGUAGGAAGGGAUCCCUGGGCCAAUGCCACAUGCAUUGGUUCUGGGCUGUCAUGCCUGGGUUGCUGUGUCUUUCAGUAGGAGAUAAUUGGGUAAGGUGGGAGGAAGGGCCUUGCACACCUAACAAGGCAGGGGCCCUUGUACGGACAGCUGGGCAGGGAUAAGGGAGGUUUAGGAGAGGCUAGGGCAGCAAAGAAGUUCACUGUUACAAAACCAGAGAGGUAGAUUGAGCCUGAGCCCCGAGCCAUGGGCCAAGCCCUUUCAACACCACUCUAGCUGGCCUGGGGAAAGGGGUUCAUUUCUGGCGCCAGCCCAGGUCUGAGCAGCCUAGGUUCAGGGUGAGUUCAGGUUAUACUGCCUGCUUUCCUGCUCUGGGCCCCUCCCCAGCAGGACUGGCUGGCCUGCAGACCUGCAGAGAGUCAGGCCCACCUCCUCCCUGGGGACAGGGCUACCCUGACCUGUGGCUCCCUGUGCACCUUGUCUUUGUGACCCAGUGUAAGCUAUUCUGGGUGGGGCCUCCAUCUCUUCUCAGGCCUCCUCAGCACUUAGCAAGGUGUCUCCUACACAGGUGAUCUCAGAACCAGCUUUGAGGUCAUACAGACUUGGUUGCAAAUUCUGCCUCUGCCUUGAAUCAGCUAUGUAGCCAUAAGCCGGAGGAAUUCUCUGAGCCUCAGUUUUCUAGCCUGUAAAUCAGCAAUAAAUGCUUCUAAGAGCAGUUGUGAGGACUGAAUGAAGUAAUGCACGUGAUGCGCUUGCAGCUCAGUGCUGGACACACACAUGAUGGCCACCAAGCCUAGAAACAGGUCUUAUCAC
RNAcentral lists this long non-coding RNA (4673 nucleotides) under Homo sapiens (human). Its description in RNAcentral is "HSALNT0221246". The record is from RNAcentral. Lineage: Eukaryota; Metazoa; Chordata; Mammalia; Primates; Hominidae.